CCUACGGGAGGCAGCAGUGAGGAAUAUUGGUCAAUGGUCGGGAGACUGAACCAGCCAAGCCGCGUGAGGGAUGAAGGUACAGAGUAUCGUAAACCUCUUUUGUCAGGGAACAAAGGCGGGGACGCGUCCCCGGAUGAGUGUACCUGAAGAAAAAGCAUCGGCUAACUCCGUGCCAGCAGCCGCGGUAAUACGGAGGAUGCGAGCGUUAUCCGGAUUUAUUGGGUUUAAAGGGUGCGCAGGCGGCCUGUUAAGUCAGCGGUCAAAGCCCGGGGCUCAACCCCGGCGCGCCGUUGAAACUGGCAGGCUCGAGUUGGAGAGAAGUAUGCGGAAUGCGCGGUGUAGCGGUGAAAUGCAUAGAUAUCGCGCAGAACUCCGAUUGCGAAGGCAGCAUGCCGGCUCCACACUGACGCUGAGGCACGAAAGCGUGGGUAUCGAACAGGAUUAGAUACCCUUGUAGUC
RNAcentral lists this ribosomal RNA (459 nucleotides) under uncultured bacterium. Its description in RNAcentral is "partial 16S ribosomal RNA". It matches the Rfam family "Bacterial small subunit ribosomal RNA", at positions 338 to 795 of the family's 1533-position model. The record is from RNAcentral.